UGAGCAAUCUGCCCUUCUCUUCGGAAUAAGCGUUGGAAACGACGUCUAAUGCCGAAUACGACCUCCUUUCGCAUGAUCGGAGGUGGAAAGCUCCGGCGGAGAAGGAUGAGCUCGCGGCCUAUCAGCUAGUUGGUGGGGUAAUGGCUCACCAAGGCGACGACGGGUAGCUGGUCUGAGAGGAUGGCCAGCCGCAUUGGGACUGAGACACGGCCCAGACCUCGUACGGGAGG
This 230-nucleotide ribosomal RNA is filed under the name uncultured bacterium. Its description in RNAcentral is "partial 16S ribosomal RNA". It matches the Rfam family "Bacterial small subunit ribosomal RNA", at positions 118 to 347 of the family's 1533-position model. The record is from RNAcentral.